AAGUUCAGAGAUGGUCCUGCCUCCUGCAUGCUUUAAAUAUCCUAACAAUGUUUCUGUUCCUUUAGCUGCAAAGGAAGCCUUUCAGAACAGUAGGAAGCUCAGCACAGUAACAUCAGGCUCUGUCUACAAACAGAAAAAAAGAGAAAAUGGCAAACACCUGACAUCUGACAUGCUGAGGACUGCAGUGCCAUUGACCUGGGCCACUGAGACCAGGAGACAUCCCCCAGCCAGGAAGGAAACUACUUACAGUCAAGGUAGAGCUUUGUUGGCACAGUCUCUGCAGAGAACUACUGAGUUGUGCUCAUGCUCUGCUUGCCAAGCUACUGAAUAUUAAAUAAAAUGUAGGAGUGAAAACAUGAAAGCAUAAGAGUGUGAAGGGGACAACUACAGAACACAAGGUGUCCCUCUGCCAUAUCUUGACAUGCUAUGAACUGCUUUUCAGCCUGAUUUUCAUUUGGCAGAUAUAACCGCAUUCUAGUUUUCUGGGAAGGACUGGUCCUUAGCACUUUAAUUCUCUCUGUGCAGUUAAGUCUCCUGUUUCAUUCCUUUGCUCCAGCAAAGCUGGAAGGACUGAGAAGCUUCUGUGUAACUGGUGAGUAUUUCAGGAUAUCCAGCUUCCCCUUUUCAUGUAAGACCUUCAUAAAAAUCAGGCACUCUGCUCUCCCCUCCUUUGCAGAAUAUUGAUGUGAUGGCUGGAGACAACUGUCCUGUUCUGUCCUGAGCAUUGUAUCUACAGCAGCAAUUCGUUAGCUCCUCUUUGCCUCCAAAAAGUGCUUCAGGUCAUGGCACAAGCCUUAAGCCUAGGGUUCAACAACUCCUUUUGUUUCACAAUUUGGGAAAACUGAGGUACAACCUAGUUUCAGACUCCAAAUCACAGGCAUUCCUGGAUUAUGCUCAGAUGUUUGAGGACACCUUUCUCUCUUUUGCUCCUUAUUGAAAGGGAAGUGUUAUUUUUCAGCUCACAAAACUUAUUGGCUUGAAGAAAUAGAAGCUUGUAGCCAAAGCUCUUAUUACUCCAACAGGGAUGCUAUAUAUAUAUAUUUUUUAAUGCUGUCUCUGUAAUUAAUCUUGCUGGUGGCCUGACUCAAAAGCUCAUGUGUAGUUAGCUGUCACAGAUCAGUUUAUGGAAAGUCCCCCUUCCCCCUGGGAGCAGUGACAGACUUCAUAAAACUAAGCCCUUCUGGCAGGCUGGCCUAUCUGACUCCAUUAAUCUCCAUGUUGCUUUUUAUUCUCGUUAAGGUACAGCAUGCCUAGAAGGCUCUGCAGGACUUGCCUGAUGAUAUGUGAGCAGUGAGGAUGGAGGUUAUCUAUACAUUGUGAAACAAAUAUUUUAU
Molecule: long non-coding RNA, 1334 nt
Filed under: Apteryx rowi (Okarito brown kiwi)
Lineage: Eukaryota; Metazoa; Chordata; Aves; Apterygiformes; Apterygidae
Description: lncRNA (ENSARWG00000015872.1)
Source: RNAcentral